RNAcentral lists this unclassified non-coding RNA (199 nucleotides) under fungal sp. Its description in RNAcentral is "partial internal transcribed spacer region". The stretch from base 1 to 46 matches the Rfam family "Eukaryotic small subunit ribosomal RNA", at positions 1786 to 1831 of the family's 1831-position model. Lineage: Eukaryota; Fungi. The record is from RNAcentral.
AAGUCGUAACAAGGUAUCCGUAGGUGAACCUGCGGAUGGAUCAUUACAAUUAGUGGAAGUUUUCAACUUCAACGUACACUAAACAACAUGUGCACUGUUUGGGUGUAGCUUUAGCUAUACUCUAUUUUUUUACUAUUCUAAACUGAUUAUGCAUUAAUUAAACGAUGUAAAACUUUUAGCAACGGAUCUCUAGGCUCUC